GUGAAGAACGUAGCGAAAUGCGAUACUUGGUGUGAAUUGCAGAAUCCCGUGAACCAUCGAGUCUUUGAACGCAAGUUGCGCCCGAAGCCAUUAGGCCGAGGGCACGCCUGCCUGGGCGUCACACGUCGUUGCCCCCCCAUCUACUCCUUCGGGAUUGCGGGGGGCGGAUGAUGGCCUCCCGUGCGCCUCGUCGCGCGGUUGGCCUAAAUGCCAAGUCCUCGGCGACGCACGCCACGACAAUCGGUGGUUGCGAAACCUCGGUUGCCAGUCGUGUGCGGUCGUCGCGCAUCGAGGGCUCGAAAAAAUUGCCGGGCUUCGGCUCGACUUUCAACGCGACCCCAGGUCAGGCGGGGUUACCCGCUGAAUUUAAGCAUAUCAAUAAGCCGAGGA
RNAcentral lists this unclassified non-coding RNA (390 nucleotides) under soil metagenome. Its description in RNAcentral is "partial contains 5.8S ribosomal RNA, internal transcribed spacer 2, and large subunit ribosomal RNA". The stretch from base 2 to 121 matches the Rfam family "5.8S ribosomal RNA", at positions 37 to 154 of the family's 154-position model. The record is from RNAcentral.